Molecule: long non-coding RNA, 5648 nt
Filed under: Sus scrofa (pig)
Lineage: Eukaryota; Metazoa; Chordata; Mammalia; Artiodactyla; Suidae
Description: lncRNA (ENSSSCG00050054596.1)
Source: RNAcentral
UCUUCGUGCCUAUGUCAGAUUUUCCACCUCAUCACUGAGUCUCUGCCAAAUCAGUCGAGAGCCAAGAGCUCUUGGGUGGAAGCCCUUCUUCUAGUUACAAGGCUAGAAGGGAGCCCCACAUCGGAGUUAGCUGAAAAGCACUCUUUCUAGUCAGUUUACAGUCCUUUUAGCAGUCAACUUUAUGAUGACGCAUCACAGCCAAAGCACAGUUUGGACACAGGUCAGCUUCCUGUGGUGUUUUUCUUUUAUCCUUUGGUUGAGAAGGUCACAGGAGACAUUUAAGUGCACCAUCAGUUGGCAGAUGCUCUCAAUCUGCCGAUUUAAUUUUAAAAAUUUCAGCUGAGAAACAUUUUCUUAAUUAUGUCUCUGUUCUAUUUUUUAUUUCUUCCUUGAUUUCCAGUUACAAUAGUCUAUCUCAUUCCAUUCUUGUAGCCAUUAUGUCUUGCCUUUAAUAAUAUCUUCUUAUAAUGUAACAAACAUUUUGACAAUAUUUGAACUCCUUAAGGGCAAAGGCUGUAUUGGUUCCGGUGAUGAGAUAAAUAUCUGCUGGCUGCUGGGGGUUCAUUCUCAUAGGCAUCAUCCUGGCAGAGGCAAGAUCAGCUCAGGUCUUUCAACUUGUGACUGGUCUCUUCAUUUUUAUAAAAUCUUUAGUCUGAAAAUGUUAAGGGAAGUGAACUAUGAAGCCAAGUCAAUUUUAUUUCUUAAAAUCAUGGCACUAAUUCUUGGUAAACUUUCACUUUGAGAUACAUAGUUGUAUGAGCUGUAUGUAUAGUACUCAUAGGAUAUGGACAAUAUAAAAUUUUAGAUGUGUAAUGUCUUAGUUCUCAUAUAGCUUACCUUCUUUGUCUAGUUUUAUGACAUGCCAAGCUUUUCUAUCUAAUUCCAUAAGUCUAUAUUUUUUAUCAUAUUUAAAUUUUAAGUUUUAGCUCCAUUUUAAAUAUUCUACUUCUAAGGAGUUCCCUGGUGGCCUAGCAGUUAGGGAUCUGGAAUUGUCACUGCUGUGGCACAGGUUUGAUCCCUAGCCAGGGAAGUUCUGCACGCCCCAGGCGCAGCCAAGAAAAAAAUCCUGCUUCUUGUACCUCCAUUACAGCAUCCUGCACAUUGUACCUUUGCUGGCUGCUCAUACUGCGCAGCCAAGUUCAAAAGUCAUCUCCUCAGCAAGACCAGUCCUGACCCCCCAUCCUAAAAAACAAAAUCUAUCCUUAUUCCAGUCACCUUGUCACAUAGCCCUGUGUUCAUUUCUUUAUCCAGUGAAGGUAUAAUAAAUGUCCUUAUUAAUACCUUUGUUUCCUUGUUUAUUCUGUGUGGCCCCUUCCCCAGAAGCUCACACCCCAGAAUGCAAAGCCCAUGUGAGACAGGCCCUGUCUUUCUGGUAUCAGGGCUGAGAUUCAGAGGCUGGAGUGGUUAGUGCCUCUUUUACUGUGAGUCUCCAAUCUGUGUUUGUUCAAUAAGGGAAUAUAAACUCAUACUCCCCAAAUAUCAGUGAGUCUGAAAGGAAAUGUUUGAAUUUAUGGUGAAGAAUGGGUUAUCCUAGAUGAUAAACCAACCCCACACUAGGACAAGCCUCCCCUGAAAUCAAAUUAAAAUAGAUGAGAGCCUGAGGGCUUCUGUGGGUGGCAGCUGCUCUCAUUUCGAAUAGGCCUAGUUCUUCCUCCAGCCAGAAGCCCUCAACGCAGUCUCUCCCCCAUAGCUCCUUCUGCCUGUAAUCCUUUUUGAUGGAAUUCCUUGCCUCAGCCCCGUCCAGCAACAUUUCUUUCAUGGCUGGGCUGACUGCCAAUGGCCCAGAUAAAGGCAGAAACUCGAGUGGAAUAUUUUGUUCUGGGAUAGCUUUCACCUUCCAGCUGCUCCAUCUUCCGGAAGGAUGACAGUCUGUGCUUGACAGAGGUGAGAGGCGUUUCUACAUCUUAAUAGCCUGUCUGAGAUGGACCAGGGGUCAGAUCCUUAAGCGUCCUGAGGAGGGGCCGGUCUUCCUGGAAGCCCAGAAACGCCUAAGAGUCCCCAGCUGUGCCAUUCACCCUUCAGCUGCUCACUGAUAAUCACAGUUUCAUUACUCACGCUCGAAUUUCUUUUCCUGAUCAGGACAGACUUCGAGGAGUCUCUGAGUAAUAAUGACAGGAAUAUAAUUUUCUUCAGCCUUUCACGUAGGCAUCUCAGUGGUAGAGCAGUGGUCAGAAACAGCUAAUUCCUUUUGACUUCAGCACAGCCCAAAUAAAGGCCAUUUGAAGUCAUCCAGCUGGAAAAAUAAUGUUAGGGCUCUCUCGAGAGUAUAUAAGAAAUAGGAACGGUGAAUUUCCUGCGAGUGACCAGGUCAGCCUGAGAACGGGUCUCUGUCCUGGGUGCCCUGCAUGAGGGUUGGAGGCGGCAGUGAAUGGAGGAGGUGGGGGCGGGGAGCAGGAGUCACAGGGGGCUAUGAAUCCUUGCUGAUGGGUGAAGAAGAGAUUCAUAUCUUCCAAUCUUUUUAAGGAGUGCCCCACUUUAUAAUUCCAGGCUUUCCUACUGUCUGUUUCCUACAAUGCCUUCUGACAUUCUCAAGGUACCAGUCUAUGGAGAAUAAAAGGCUAAUUCGAGUUUUUUCAGCUACUCAGGAAUUUUUUUUUCUUACAAAAUUACCUUGUAUCUCCCCUUCUCACAAACGCAGGCAAUCCAGAUAUUGUUGAGAUCCUUCUUAGAGAACUGACCUUUCUAGGUUGUUAAGCUCUUUCCCCUCCUGGAAAAAUAGAUGCCUUUAGAUGAGGUCUAAAGGGCUGAUGAGAGUCUUAAACCUACUAUAAUUCCCACGACGAAUAAUUUUUAUGGAAGCCUUUCUGUGGCUUCAUUGUUUGAAUGAAUAACUAAGGGUGGGGAGGGAGGAGAAUGGACUUAUUGGUUGUUUGCUCUAAUGCAUAUUAAUUCAUAAAACUAAAGACCUGAAGGGAAUGUUCUGAGAUAAAAGCCUCCAUCCCCUGCCUCCAGGGAAGAAUUCAUUCAGCUACCUCAAGAUAUAAAGUCAGCGGCACUUAAUAAUCCCCAUAAGAAAGUCUGCCACUUCCUUUAAUAAUAUGCCCCAGUGUCCUAUCCAUCCUUACAGACAGGUGAUUUUUCAUGGGCACGAACAUAAAUAAUUCCAAAACCAGGUAAAAAAAAAAAGAUGUUAUUGUCUGUUUCACUCAUCUGCGUAGCUUCAAUUUCUUGAGAAAUUGAUUGGCAUCUAGUAGGCACUCAUUAAACAUCUUUUGAGUAAAAGAAUAAAUAAUUGAAUAAAGAAAUGAAAAUUAAGCAGAGAAAUGGCCCAGAACCAUUGAGAACUUAUUCUCUGCGUAGUGCUUUUUAGGCAUUGUGUGGAUUUCAAAGAUGUAAAAGGGAAAAGAACCUGUUAAACCCAGGUUCUGACUGUUUCUCACUUCACACAGGUACACCUCUAGUCACAAGUAAGGUUCAUCCAAAACAGAUUAAAACAGUACUGUCUCUAUACUAAGAGAGCCUGAGAUGAAGACAUGCAUUUGUAUCAGGAUGAAUAAAAAUGGCCUGGAGACAAGAUAAUGAGCAGUUUUGAAUUACCGGUAGGAUUUGGAGGUCGAAGGCCCUUCUAGGAGGAGGUGAUGCCCAGAGUAAAUGCUUGGAGGCAGGAAAGUGCUGAGUUCGAUGCAGAAGCACUGAGCAAUCUCAUGUGUCUCGAGAGGCAGAUAUGUCUGUACAUGUCUGUCUGCUGCUGGUGGUGGUGGUGAAGAUGGCAGAAGCAGGUGGGCACAGGCCGGAAGGGUCUGCUGGAGCCCCUAAAAACAGCCACCAUAGAGUUCAGAGUAGAAAAAGAUCAUUCAUGUCACAAAGUACCACACUGGAAGCACUGUGAAAUCUGGAAUUUUCGUCCCUUUGUCUACAGUUCUAUCUAUGGCCCCUGGAAUAGUGCCUGGGAUGGAGUGGGUGCUGGGUAAAUGUUUGUUGAGUAACUAUGAAAUAUUCUUAUUUUUUUCUGAGCAUGGCAAAUGUAAGUUAUGCCUUUGUAGAACUGCUCAACUCUUAUUUUGUUUACAUUUUCAGUGUCAAAGAGACAAAAUUCAAACUGGAAAAGGUAGAACAUUAUCAAUGAAGGGCAUGUGCGUCCAAGACAGUAAAAUAACACCUAGAGUCUUAGAAUAAUCUCAGUAUUCUGGACUAUUGAAAAAUGAUGUAGUAGGGUACUGAAAUAAUUUCAGAUCUGAUUCCACAACUACUGUCAAUACUUAAUGGAGAACUCAAGGAGAAUAGUAAAGGCCACAGGGAAAUGUUUGGGAUGAUAUUGGCCCAGUUCUUAAGAGUACAUUCUCCCAAGCAAUGUACUAAAUUGUGCUUCCUGGCUAACCUCUAAAACUCUGAAUUAUUUCUAAGCAGUUUAUCUGUAAGUACUCAGGGUUGCCGAUUGUAGUAGUUACUGUGCCACUACUAACUAGAAGGGGGUAGGAGAAAGAAACUUUGGUUGAGAGAUGGGUCGCAGGUGAAAGUGUGUUCUAGCUGUGUACUUUCAGAACAGCAUAGGACGGUGAAGCUAUCAUGGUGUGCAGUCAAUGGAAAUGAGGUGGGUCUUCUAAUCCAGUGUAAUUCAUCCAUCAGUAAGACAGGGAUCCUGCUCUAAAUGGGCUAAGUUCUCUAAACAUCGACUAUAGCUGUAAAAACAAAGGAUAAUCUCUAAUUGGAAAUUACCACCUAAGCUGUAGUCCCACAAAUGCAUGAGGUUCAACUAAGGUGAUGUUUGGAAGAUUCUGAGAACAAUGCCUAAUACAGAAUGAGGGCUUACUUAUUAACUAUUUUUAGCAGUACAAUAAAAAUUAAAAGCUCUAAAAUAAAACCUUUAUAAAAUUAUAUUUGUAAUUAGAAAAGAAUAAACAGCCUACUUUUCAUGAAUUAAAAAUUAGGAAUAAGGAGGUUCCUGCCAUGGCUCAGUGGAAACAAAUCUGACUAGUAUCCAUGAGGACGCUGGUUCGAUCUGGGGCCUUGCUCAGUGGGUUAAGAAUCUGGCAUUGCUGUGAGCUGUGGUGUAGGUUGCAAACAUGGCUCAGAUCCUGAGUUGCUGUGGCUGUGGUGUAGGUCAGUGGCUACAGCUCCGAUUCAACCCCUAGCCUGGGAACCUCCAUAUGCCAUGGGCAUGGCCCCAAAAAGACAAAAAAAAAAAAAGUAGGAAUAAGCAAUCGUGAAAAUAUUUGUUCAUCGUAUAGUUCAUUUGUAUAUUCAGGCAACAGACAUUCAUAAAGCAGUUUCUAUUUGCUAGUACUUCCCUAGAUGCUCAGGAUGGGAAGACAAUUAAGAUAAUAUAUUUAUUCUUAAGGGAUUCAAUAUAGUGUGGGGUCUUAUACUUAUCCAUAUAAGAACUAAAAAACUCUAUUGCACAUUUAUGGUUCAUAACUGUCCCUGUUUGAUUGCAAGCUCCUUGGGGGCCAAACUGUUUCAUUUCCAUCUUUUCUGACACCUACAACUACUCUAGGUGAUGGUGCUGUUCUCAGCAACAAAAGACGCAGGUUUUAGGAGAUCCUCUUGUGGCACAGCAGAAACCAAUCCCACUAGUAUCCAUGAGGAUGGGAGUUCAAUCUGUCACCUCGCUCAGUGGGUCGGGGAUCUGGUGUUGCCGUGAGGUGUGGUGUAGGCCAACAGCUACAGCUCCAAUUGGACCCCUAGCCUGGGAACUCCCAUAUGCCAUG